This is a long non-coding RNA of Neofelis nebulosa (Clouded leopard), 738 nucleotides long. RefSeq lists it as uncharacterized. The record is from RefSeq and is a predicted model, not a curated record. NCBI's taxonomy places the organism in Eukaryota, Metazoa, Chordata, Mammalia, Carnivora, Felidae. The transcript has 2 exons.
UGGGAUUCUUAACUGACUGGGCCACCUAGGUGCCCCACAACAAAUGUUCUUUCUUUUAAAACCAGAAAAAACGUUAACAGACGUUAACAAAGCUCAGACUAACAUCUCCAUAGAUAUUUUUAUGUUAAUUCAAUGAGACAUCGGCAUCGUUCAUUACAUCUCUCCUGCCCUAAUACAGCAGGCACUACUUACACCUUUCUGUAGAACCAGAGAUUAAAUUUAAAAAAAAAUUUUUAGAUCAUGACCUGAGCUGAAACCAACCAAGCCACCCAAGUGCCCCUCCAAAGAGAUUUUCAACUAUGCUUGCUUAUAUGAGUCCUACUACUUUUCAAUUUAAUUGGGAGACAUAAGAGUCGACCAUUAACAUACACUGUAUAUACUGAUACUUUUAAUUGUAUUAAAGGCUUACAAUUCUCCCCCCCCAACAUAAGAUCAAAGCUUCUCAAACGCUUUCAAAGGAUCUAUUUUUUUUUUUUUAAUUUAUUUUUACUUCUGUUUGAGAAAGAGUGUGACUAAGGGCGCAGCAGAGAGAGAGGGAGAAUCUCAAGCAGGUUCUGUGCUAUCAUCGCAGAGCCUGAUGUGGGGCUCGAACGCACGAAACUGAGAUCAUGACCCGAGCCGAAAUCAAGAGUGGAACCCUUAACCGACUGAAGCCACCCAGCAGGGAUAGUGCACUGGGCUAACUCCAGGACAUCAGCACCACGCCCAUACUCUUAAUGCAGAGAAAUGCUCAUUUUA